Molecule: long non-coding RNA, 14820 nt
Filed under: Capsicum annuum
Lineage: Eukaryota; Viridiplantae; Streptophyta; Magnoliopsida; Solanales; Solanaceae
Description: long non-coding RNA (CANN_LNC019939)
Source: RNAcentral
CUUCCUCAUCUACACUAUUAGGAACAUCCAGUCUUUCUUAUUUGGCAUUGAAAUGAUUGGAACUUCAUACGUCUUCAUCAAAGUUGCUGGUUUGUAGUAUUUUGAAUAAUAUGGAACAAAAUCUUUUACAUGUUUAGACUUCAAAAUGGCAAUAACAUGAGGACAAGGUAUUUGAUCUAUUUGGAACCUCCCACAGUUGCAAGAGCCACAUUCAAGUUCGACAAUGUAUCUUCGUCCAGAUUCAUAAACUGAGUAUAUGUAGGAUGAUGAUGCCUUCACCUGAACAAAAUAAAAAGUUCAAACAUUAAACUUUCUAUCGAUUUUUUUUAAAAAAGUUUAACAGUGAAUGAAAUAAUACAUAUAAAUGCAUAGUAAAAAUUCUGAAAAAUCAUACAUACCGUCAUCCUCAAAGCUUUCAUCUUACAAAAUUCCAAUUGAAAUUUUUUUUUUCAGAGCGAUAAAGAAAUCAGUGUUUUGAUUUAUUUUUUGGUGUGUGAUUUUCGUAUGAUUUGUUUUUAAUGUAUUUGAUUAAUUCAGAAUUUGAAAUUCAGAAGUUGUUACAUAAAUUAAGGAAGCAUUAAUCCACUUAAUUAAUUAGCUGACUUAAAAACGUCCUUAAAGGUAGGGAAUAUGUUAGUUCUUUUUUUAACGGCAGUAAAACUUUCACAUAUUCAUAGGAAUCGAUGUAUAUGUGUGUUUCUUAUUAUGUUAAAAUGGAGAGAGAGUAAACUAAUUAAUAAAAGUGAGAAUAUAUCAUUUAUCAUAUCAAUGUCUAAAACCUAUCUCAAUCUCAACCAGAUGUCAAAAUCAUACUAUAAUAAAGCUCAAUCUAACAAAAGUAAGUCUAACAUUUCUUGAAUCCAAAUAUAGUUCACAAACCAACAAUCUUCGCUUUCCCUUUUCUCAAAGCUUCUCUAAGGAUCUACUCUAUCAAAAACAUAAUCUAUGCAUUAUUAUGAGAAUAACAACACUCGUAUUGCACUACAUACUUCGGAUCUAAAAUGAUAUAAAAAAAUUCAAGUGGGUCCCACAUACGAAAAUUGAAUUUUUGAGACCAACCCAACGUUCAAAUACCAUUAUGAAGUUAAAGCCCUCAAGAAAUUUGUGCCAAAAAAUCAUAUUUGGAGCUAAAAUCGAGCCUCAAAGCCAUUUGAAAUUUUGGUCAAAAAUUCAAGAAAUUAGAGUAUGAACUGGAAGGAUUCUUACCUCAAAUCUGUUGUUGAUCAUAAAUAUAUAUUUUAAUCGAGCUUCUAAUGCACCCCCAAGACUCAAUUUGAAGUCAAUAUAUCAUUCUUGGUCUGCUAGGUUUCAAAGAAAGCUGAAAAAUGCCAAAAAUUCGGGCAAGAGUCUUUUUUAUACACGGCUAAAAAGGGCCCACAAGGUCAAAACUUGUUUUGAUCUUUCGAACUCAUCCGCACUCCAUUUUUUCACAAAACGAACUAUGCUCCACUAAAUUUGAUGUUCCAAACGUAUUGGUAAAGUCAAAUUUUUAAUCCAAGCUCAUUUAGGUCACUUGUGUGCCCCACACCCAUAUCUUUUGAUUAUUGACUUUUCGACCAAUAGGUCGAAAUGAAUUCAGGUGCAAUGGGAUCCGAACCAAGGGUCUACCCUAGCCUAAAAUCGAUAUAACAGAAUUGUUGGUGUUGUCAGAAUUUGCAUUAGAAAUUAUUUUACGAAAGUUUUCGCUCGGUGGCCAUUUAAAAUCGGCGAAGACUUCUAAACGAGAAAUGGGCUCUAAAAAUCAAACGAACUACCUGGUAACCUAACUAUCAGUUUCAACAAGCCAUAAAUGACUUAGGACAGUUAUAAAAAGCUCUAAUGUUGAAAAUAAGCAGGANNNNNNNNNNNNNNNNNNNNNNNNNNNNNNNNNNNNUAAUAGACUUGGGACUCAUUUCUACAUACGCAAGUGCGCAACUCUAGAAAUGUAAAUUGUGAAUACCGUAGAAACUAAUUAUCUGGCGACAAAGAAUUGAGACCACUAUACGUUUGGCUCGAUUGUCCAAAUUAGAGGUAUAACAAAAUAUUUAUCCAUGUAAAAUUGUAUUAAAACUCCAAGAAUGGUCCAUCGAGUCGAUACGAAACGACUAGUAAAAUAGUAGCCACUCAAGUGCAAUGAGCUAUACCGCCUAAGAGACACUUGAUCUUAGAUGCACGAUAAAAUGAAAAAUUAUAGGGAUCCCUCCUCAAGUAACUGAGGUAGGGGUGGCAAUUUCAUCCUAUAUUUGUAAAAAAAGUCCAUUUAAUUCAUAUUUAGUGAAUUGGAUCACUCAUAUUUCAAAUGGGUAAAUAUGGACUUCAACUCAUUUUAAAAGCUCAUACAAAUAUGGACAAAAUGGGUAAAAUAUGGGUACCCAUUUAAACACAGAGAUUACCCACUUAUGCUUAAAGUUUCAAUUUUUUUUCUUUUCUAGUUUCUUUUCUUCUUCUUUUUUCUAUUAAUUUACUUUUUUUAUUUUUCAUUUUUUUUUCAUUUUUUUACUCAUUCCUUAUAAUUUCUUUUUUUCUUUCUCAUUUUUUCAUCUAUUUUUUUAUUUUUAUUUCUUUUUUCUUUGUAUUCUUUUUUUUUUCGCUUUCCCCUUUUUCAUUCUUAUUUCAUCAUUCGUAUUCACUUGAGACCUACAUAAGUUAAUAAAUAUAAGCUUCUAAUUAUCCCAUUUAGCUUAUAUAAUUCAUAACAUCUCUUAUCAAUUAAAUAUAAUCCAUAGUCUCACCCCUUUAUUAAUAUUUUUUUCUAUCUUUUAUUUCUCUUUUUUUUUUCUUUUUUUUCUUUUUUAUUUCUUUUUUACUUUAAUUUACUAUUUUUUUCUUUAUUUUUUCCUUUAAUUUACUUUUUUUNNNNNNNNNNNNNNNNNNNNNNNNNNNNNNNNNNNNNNNNNNNNNNNNNNUCUUCUUUUUCAUCAUUUUUUUCUUUUUCAAUUUUAUUUCUUUGCAUUUUUUUUUUUGCAUUUUUGUUUCCCCCUUUUUCAUUCUUGGUUCGUCAUUUUUCUUAUUUUUUUCAUAUUCUUUUCCUCAUUUUUUUUGUCAUUGCAUUUUAUAUUUUUUUACUUUAAAUUUAUUUGUAUCAUACUAUAUAUUUCAAAUAAAUUUAUUAUUUGUAUUUGAAUAGCUUAGUUGUCAAUAUGUGCAAUUUAUCAUUUGUAUUUAUAUACAAAUAAGUAUAUGAAUUAAAAUUAACAUGGGUUGUGGUGCAGUGGAUGGGGCAGCUCCACCCUUAACCAGAGGUCGAGGGUUCGACCUUGGUUAUAGAGAAAACUCUGUUGGGAGCGCUGCCACCUUAAUGGGCCAUGCAGCGCCCAAUUCGGAUUAGUCGGGGCUCCAAUGCAAGCACCGGACACCGGAUGAAAAAUAAAAAAAAAAGUAUAUGAAUUAAUUGUAUUUUCUUGAGACUAAAAUAUAUAUAUGACUAAGGAUCCACAUAGCCCUCGAAUUAUAAAUGUUGGGCGAAUAUAAAUCAAUAUGCGCUUAUGGUAUUUUUGUUAUCAUAAAAAAAAAAACCAAAAAAAAAAAAAAAAAAAAAAGUAGAAAGAGAGGUAGAAGUUAGAGAUAGAAGAGAGAAAAAAGCGUAAAGAAAGAAUUGAAGGAAAAAAAUACAAAAAAAAUCAAAAAGAAAAAAUAAUGGAAAAAGAGAAAAGGAAAAAAGAAAAAAGAUAAUGGUGAAAACAAAUAUACUGAGUGGUUACAAUAUUUUAGUCAUCAUCAAUAAUUUGUACUCGACUUAACCAUGUUCUUCAAAAAUAAAAAAUAUAUAAAACAUAAAACACAACCCAAAAAGAAAAAAAUGAGAAAGAAGUAAAAAAAAAAAAGAGACUAAAAAGGAAAAGAAAAAAAAAAGAGAAACAAAGGACAGAGGGUAGAGAUAGAAGAGAGAGGAAAAAAAGAAAUGAAAAAAAAAAACUAGAGGCUACAUAUAGAAGAUAGACAAAAAAAACUAAAAAGAAAAAAUUAAAAAUAAAAUAAAAUAAAAAAAAGUCAAGUUGAUAUGAUAUAGAAGUUUUAAUUUUUUGACGUAGGAGUUAAAAGUGGGUUGGAACCAUUUUUACUUAAUCCAUAUUUGACCAAAUCCAUAUUUACCUAUAUUUAUAUGGGUGAAUUGUAAUUCAAACUAUUUUUGCUUGAAAAUUCAAUCCAAUCUGCCCGUUUGUCACCCCUAAACUGAGGUAUGAAAAAAGCACCGAGAGUCAAGAAGUAGUGUUUAACCUGUUGAUUUAACCGAUUUGAAUGACAUACUACAAUUAAAAAAACAGUUUGCAAAUGAAUUUGAACAUCGAUUUAUAUGAGUCAAUACUUACUAACUUGGCUCUGGUAGAGUAGGUUGCCCUCAGCGUGUAACCCCAUCGGGAACACCCACGAAAAAGUCAACUAUAGCCACUUUAAGAACAUACCUCAGAGUUAACAAGUUUUGAGUUUAUUACGGAAAGAAAUAUUUAACAAGUACAUAGUAAAUGCUGAAAUAGAAAAAACAUGUAAGGCACCAAUGUCAUACAUCAAAAAGUAUUGCACUAGUUCCUUUUCAACUAAAAUGGACUGCCAGUAUUUUCCCCAUAAAUACGCCCGAGAUAGGUUUGUGAUCCACUGCGACGCAAGCAAGCUCGAGUCGGGACGCAUACUCUAUUAAUUGCAAUCAGAUAAUCGAGGUUUCAAACAACUAUCUUUUGUCGCCAGAACCAGGAUCGAAGUUCUUUUGGCUCAAGGUAGUUGGGUCCAAUAACCUUUGCUAAUAAGCUCCCUCGAAAGCAGUCCCUCAAGUACGGAGGCCGACCUCAACUCACUGAAAGACCUUUUUUGCCCCAAAUCUCACCCACAAUUUUUAUGAGUCUGGAACUGAAAGGGUUAAUUUUUGGAGUGAAAAUGUCAAAAGAGGACAAUUAAUGUUGAAAAAAAUCAAAUGGGACAAAACGUCCUUAACCAAUAAUUUAGCAGUCAUUGGUGGGUUAGUGACUUGUAAGUUGCUGGACUACAACAGCUUUCUUUAAUUUUCCAUUUAUUCUCAACCUUCCUCUAUAUAAGUUUCUUUCCGUUUCUUCUCCGUGUUAUUUAUAUCAUUUGAGUUUCUGUCAAAUUUUCCAACUGUUUAUUAUUGGACUAUACCCCUUGAAGCAUCAACAUUCAAUUUUGAAAAUACAUAGAUCAUAAGGAUCAAAUUCAUUGCCAGUGAAGUUCUUGAAUAAUAGGGCAACAUUAAGUAAAUGCGAUUAUCAGAAAUUUCCACAAUAAAAAGAAAUAAAGACAAAGAAUCAUCACUCCAAAUAGAAUUCUCAUCAAACGUUAUAAGUUUAUUGGCUAAAAAAGAUGUUUGUUACCGUCCGGUGAUAACCACCACAUCCGUUGAAUUACUUCUACCGAUUCUGUUUUUUAGUAGACGUUGCAAUCGCUCAUAUUUACGAAAUAAUGGAUACACUUGUAUAAUUACAGGCGAUCGACUAUAUCUUACAGAACCUGCUUCAUAUAAAACAUGACCACUUCAAUAUAAAUUUACUCUAAGACAACUUCUACAACUUAUUCAAUAUAACAAGGAAUUAAAAAAGAAAGGUUUAAGUCAAAUAAAAUAUGAAGAAGAAACUUACAUACAAAAAUAAAAAAUUAAAGAAAGUUCUCGGAGGGCCAACGAUUUGUAAGUCGCUACGAUUUUUUUUUCAAUAUUCAUAGUCUUUUUUGAUAUCUUUACGCCAAAAACUAUCUUUUUCAACUAGGGACUCUAUAAAAAUGCAUACACCUAUUCUAUCUCUUUAUUUUGUACUUUUUUCAUUUUAAAAUAAUUGAUUAUUUUUUAAAAAAUAUUUAUUUUUAUUUAGUUGUCCCUCGAAUUUAAUUAUGUUACUUCAAAACUAUCAUAUCAUUAAAUAAUUAAAUAAAACAAAUAUACUCAAAUUUAUAUUUUUAAAAUAUAAUUAAUAAAACUAAUUUAAUAAAAUAAUUUUUUAAGAAAUACUACUUUAAAAAAAAUACUACUAUUAAUUUAAGGGAUAAUUACAUAUCUUAGUCAAUAUUGACACCUAAUUACCUUAUUUAGCCUAAUUUCAAUUAAUUACAAUCCAUAACCUCUCUUGCCUAUUAAUUUUUCAUAAUUACAAUUCAUAGCCUCUCAUGUAUUUUUUCUUUUUCUCUAUUUUCUAUUACUUUUCUUUUUCAGUUUUGUCCUUCUUUUUUUCUUUUCCUUUUUUUUUCGUUUGCUCUUUCUUUUCUUUUUUCAAUUUUUAUGUUUUCUUUUUUUUUUUUCGUUUGUAUUUUUUCUUUAUUUUUUUCCUUUUUAUUUUUUCUCCAUUUUUUGUUUUUUUUUCUCUAUUUUCUAUUACUCUUUUUUUUUCAAUUUUUUUCUUCAUUUUUUAUUUUCCUUUUUUUGUUUUCUCUUUCAUCUUUCUUUUUUUAUUUUUUAUUUUUCGUUGUCUUUUUUUCAUUUUUUCUUCCCUUUUUUGUCUUUUUUCAGUUUUUUCCUUCUUCUUUUUUUCUUUUUUUCGUUUUCUCUUUCUUUUUUUUUUCCAAUUAUUUUAUAUAUAUAUAUUUUUUUUUUUCUUUUUUUCCUCCUUUUUUUUGUUUUUUUUCUCUAUUUUCUAUUUUUUUCAGUUUUUUUUCUUCAUUUUUUUUCCAUUUUUGUUUUUUCUUUCUUCUUUCUUUUUCAAUUUUUUCUUUUUCGGUGUCUAUUUUUCAUUUUGUCUUUUUUUUUUCUUUUUAUUUUUUCUCCUUCUAUUUUUUUCUUUUAUUUUUUUCUCUAUUUUCUAUUACUCUCCUUUUUUUGUAUUUUUCUCACAUUUUUUCAUUUUUUUCUUUUUAUUUUUCUCCUUAUUUUCAUUUUUUGCGAACUAGCAAACAUAAAAACAAGUGCGAAUAAAUACAAGUGUGAACUAUAAACUAUAAAUACAAAGGCGAAUUAUAACAUACAAAUAUAAGUGAAAAUUACAAAAUACAAAUACAAAUGUGAAUUAUAACAUAUAGAUACAAAUGUGAACUAUCAUUUGUAUUUUUUAAUUAUUGAAAAAUAACGAUUGAUUUUUUUUUUUAUGAAUAUUUGUUUGUAUUUAUUUAUACGAGUUGUUUUUAUUGAUACAAAUAAAUACAAUCCAAAUUUUUAUCAAAAUACAAUAUAUAUUUGUAUUAUUCAAAUCGUUGGUUUCAUUUGCUUGUAAUUGUAUUUGUAUCAAGUUAUAUUUAUUUAUUUAUAUAUACGAAUAAUAAUUUUGACAUACAAAUACAAAACGGUACAUUUGUAUCAAAUGAUAAAUUGCAUAUUUAUAUAUUUUAGAAUCAAGAAAAUACAAUUAAUGCAUUUACUUGUUUGUAUACAAAUACAAAUGAUAAAUUGUACAUAAUCACGCCUAAAUAUAAUAUGCAAUCAACUUACAAAUAUCAAUGCAAAAUAAUUCUUUAAAAAUAAAAAGACAUCGACAAAAAUAGAAUACAAAUACAAAUAUAAUCUAAAUAUACAAACACAAUAAAAUCAUAAUACAAAUAUAAUUCAAUAUAAUAUACAGUCAAUUAUAAAAUACAAAUACAAAACAGUUUUUUAAAAUACAAGAGCAAAUGAUAUAAAAUAUAAAUAAUGGUGCGAACUAACAAAUACAAAUACAAGUGCGAACUAUAAAAUACAAAUAUAAACGCGAACUACAAAAUACAAAUAUAAGCGCGAACUUUAUAAUACAAAUACAAAAAUAGUUGUAUCAAUGAAUACAAAAAUAUGAAUAACGGUGUGACUACGAAUAGAUAAACAAUUAUGGUAUUUACAUUAUCAUCAAUGACUUGUGCUCGAAUAGUUAUAUUUUUUAAAAAUACAAAAAAUAUAAAAUAGAAAAAAAAAAAUGAUAAAGAAAAUAACGACUUAACCAUGUUCUUCGAAAAAUAAAAAAAUAAAAAACAUAACAUACAACUAAAAAAGAAAAUAAUGAAAAAGAAGCAAAAACAAAAAAAAUAAAAAUAGAAAAAAUUAGAAAAAAGAAGAAGAAAAAAUGAGAAAAAUACGAAAAAGAAGAAAUAUAAAAAAAAAAAAAGAAAAAAAAUGGUAGUGUUUUUGGCAAGAAUAAAUAUGUAGUGUAUUUAUGUUUUUAUGAAUACAGACCACUAAGUAAAAGUAAAUACAACGGCUGUGAAUCGAAUACAUCAGCUAAAUGGUACUGUAUUUAUAUUUUAUAUGAAUAUAGAUUAUUGAUAAAAUUGAAUACAACGAGCGUAAAUUGAAUACAAUAACUAUAAAUAGUAAUUAUAUAAAAUAUGGCUAUGAAAAGUGAAUUUUCCAGUAAAAUAUAGCUAUUUUUGAAAGAUCCUAGAAGUUAACAAGACAACUAUUUAAGUAAAUUCCUUGAAUGGUCACUCAUGUUUGAAAAAUUUCCUACAAAUAUCACUUUUGUUUUAUUUAGGACAAGAAUGUCAUCCAAUUUUUCUUUUUUUCCUUAAAAUAUACUUAAGACCUCAAAAAUCUUUUUCUCCUACUUAGAAUGUCAUGUCAUUAAUUUUUUUUUUUAUAUAUAAAUGUAUAACUUAUCAAACUUAUUUAACUAAAGUUUUAUCCAAAUUUUUUUUUUUAAAAAAACAAAAUUAUACAUGAUAUAUUAAUCAUUGAAGAUUAAUUUAAUUAUAUCAAAAGCUUGAGUUAUUUUAUUUGAUAUGUAAUCUUCAAAGUUUCUUUUAUUUACUUAUUUAAUUCACCACUUAAUAAUAAUUUUAAAAUACAACUACUUAUACGAAUUGGUACAAUAAUUUUUUUGUCGUUUUAUUUUAUAUACUAAAAAUUCUUAGAAUGUAAAAGAAAUAAAACGAUGGAUUUCAUAUUUUAGACAUUAAGUUUGUUAUUUAUAUGAGAAUAAAAGAAUUAAAUCUCCUUUUUUGAAGGAAAGAAAAAUUAUGUAGUCUUGAAACAAAUUAAAUUUUUUAAGAAAUAUUAACAAAAUGAUUACCUUCUUCAGUACCAUUACAAAUGUAUUUUUAAAAUAUUACUCAAUCAAUUAUUAUUUGCUUUUGAUAAAUUUAGAAUGAAGUACGGAUAUAAAUUAGUGUUUAAUUUUAUAAUAAAGUAAAAUAUAAAUAUAAUGAUCACAAAAAAAGUGAAGAAACUAAAUUAAAAAUAAUAAUUUUUUUCUAAAUUUUUAUGUCUUAUCUUAUGGAUUUACUUGAUUACCUUGCAUAAAAAGUUGCAAGUAAUGUACGUCCAAGUUAAAUUUUUCAGGAACUAAUACAUAUUAAAAUUUUCUUAUUGAAUUUUAUUUGACAACAAAAAACAUCGUAGAUUUGCCAUCAAUACUUUUAAAUAACAAAUUAUAUUCUAUUAUUCUAUAUUUGAAGGUAAUAUAAUAUCUUUGGAUUAUAUUAAUCCAAAAAUUAUUUGUAUAAUCCAAAAAAAGUGAAUUUUAUUCUUUUAUUCUCAUAUAAAUAAUAAAUUUAAUGUCUAAACUAUGAAAUCCGUCAUUUUUAUUUAUUUUACAUUUUAAGAAUCUUUAAUAUUUAAAAUAAAUAACAAAAAAAAAUUAAAUGAGUACCAAUUUUCAUAAGUACUUGACUUUUAAAUAUUAUUAAGAGUAAGAUGGAUGAAGUGGAGGCUCGCCUCGGCCCUUGUGAGUGAUGUGCGAUAAGAAGGUGCCCAUUAAGCUUAAAGGUAAAUUCUAUAGAGUGGCAGUUCGUCCGGACAUGUUGUAUGGAGCAGAGCAUUGACCGGUUAAGCACGCUCACAUCUAGAAAUUGAAGGUGGUGGAAAUGAAAAUAUUGCGUUGGAUGUGCGGGUUUAGUAGAGGGGAUAGCGUUAGGAAUGAGAUUAUCUGGGAGAAGGUGAGAGUGGCUUUGAUGGAGGACAAGAUGCGGGAAGGAAGACUGAGAUGGUUUAGGCAUGUGAUGAGGAGGGGCACGGAUGCUCCGGUUCGUAGGUGUGACAGGCUAGCGUUGGAUGGCUUCAGGAGGAGUAGAGGUAGGCCAAAGAAAUACUGGAGGGAGGUGAUUAGACAUAACAUGGAACAACUUCAGCUUACUAAGGACAUGACCCUAGUUAAGAAGGUGUGGAGAUUGAAGAUAAAGGUAGAAGGCUAGUGUUAGUGUGUGGGUUGUAACAAGCAGUCAGGAGAGUUCUUGUGUAGUCAAGUUAAUAAUCAUAGGGCAGUGUACAUAGGUGUCUUUGGUAUGUGCGUAUAUGUUACUACUAGGUGGGUGUCCUAUUUCUUAUUUCUUAGUUCCUAUUUUUCUUAUUCCAUGUUGCUCUUAUUUCCCGUAUCUCAUAUUUCUCUGAUUUUAUUUUAUUAUUUCUUAUUCUUUAUUUCGAUUAUGUCAUUCAUCCCCUUAUUUACUAUCCUUUAUCUUGAGCCGGGAGUCUAUCAGAAACAAGUUCUCUACCUCUUCGAAGGUAGCGGUAUAGACUGCGUACGUCUUACCCUCCCAAGAUCCCACGUUGUGGGAAUACACUAGGGUUGUUGUUAAAGUGGUGAAAUAAAUAAGUAAAUAAAAGAAACUUUGAAAAGUACAUAUCAAAUAAAAUAAUUCAAGUUUUUGGUGUAAUUAAAUUAAUCUUCAAUUAUUAGUAUAUCAUAUGUAAUUUUUUUUUAAAAAAAGAAUUAGUAUAAAACUUUAGUUAAAUAAAUUUGAUAAAUUAAAUAAAUCUAUUUAUAAAAAAAAAAUUUAAUGACGUGACAUUUCAAGUAAGAGAAAGAAAAUUUUUAAGGUGUUAAGUAUAUUUUAAGAAAAAUAAAAAAUAUUAAAUAAUAUUCUUAUUCUAAAUAAAAUAAAAAUAAUAUUUUUAGAUAAUUUCUCAAACAUGUAUUACCAUCUAGAAAAUUUAAUCCAACUAUUUUUGAGGGGUAGAGUAUCCAUAUCCUAUCACGAGAAUUACGAGGUGUCCUGAAUGGUCAUGUCACUCCAUAAAGCCUCGUAUACACGAAAUCCUAAAGCCACGUAUACACGAAAUCCUAAGGAUUUGAAUUUUUAUUUUGACUUUCAUUUUUACUAAACUUGUACUCACUCCUUCCAUUAUUUUACCCACUCUUAUAAAAUAGAAUUAAAAUUAAAAUCACAAUAUUAAUUAGUGUCGUUUGAUAUGAUUGAUAAUGGAGUGGUUUAAAAUUAUUUUGAAAAAAUAUAUAAAAUUAUUUAUGCUUUCAAUUAAAAAUAUAUUUUAAAUAAAAUUAUUUUUAUAAAUAGUGAAAAUUAGAAUAUAUUUUUAAGAUAGGCAUACGAAAAGAAAAAACAAUUAAAUUAAAAAGGCAGGAAUAAUUAGAGGUGCGUAAAAAUCGAACCGAUAAAAAUGUUAUUGGGUUAACAAAUUUUUAUUGGUUUUAUAAAAAAAUUUAUUGGAUUUACAGUUCGAUUUAAGUUUUAGCUUAUUGGAUUAUCGAUUAAACCGAUAACCCAAUAAGGAUACACUAAGUUACUGUUUUACCCCUAUUUAUGUUACAUCUAUAAAUAUUUAUAUAGAUAUACUAUUUAUUCACAAUUUAGUGAUUCACAAAGUAUUAACCUAUUUAGGGCAACACAGAUACAAUAUAAAGUACGAAUAUCAUCGUAUUGAAAGGCUUAUAUAUAUAUGUACACACACGCACUACUUUUUCACAAUUCAGUGAUUCUCAGAGUAUUAACCUAUUCAGGGGGAUAAAGUUACAAUAUAAAGUACGAAUAUUAUCGUAUUGGAAAGUUUGAACCAUUUAGUAGCUUCCAAUAAUUAGGAUUCAGUUUUUUCUCAAAUUAACAUUCAGUUCAAAUUUGAAGAUUCUUGUAAAUUAAAAUAUAUUGCAUAGGAUUUUGGUGGUAGCUAAAAUUUUAUUUUUUUAUGUUAGUUGUUACUAUUUCUAUUUUUUAAGUAUUUUCUUAUUGGUUAAACCGAAAAUCAAACCGUUAAGGACCAAAAAUUGAUAAACCAAAAUCAAUAAAAAAAUAUCUUAUUGGUUGGUUAUUGAUUUUACACAUUUAAAAAUUAAAAAUCGAUAAAUCAAAUCAAUAAUACAUUAAAUCAAAUGGAACCGACCGAUGCACACUCCUAGAAAUAAUUUACGAAUCAGAUUUCAAAUUUUUAGAUGUACAUCAUAUCAAAUCAACCAUAAAAUUAAAUUCAAUUAAUAUAGGAGCAAAUACUACUUUGGAAUCUGGCCAUCUUGGAACCUCAACACUUUUAUAUGGAAAAACUGUUGGAGUUACUUGAUAAUGACUUGGAUCCAUUAUUAGUUGUACAUAGUGGGUCUCGUAGAUAUUAUAUUUAUGUGUAGUGUCUUUGUAUUUGUAUUUCUAUACCUACUAAAUAUAUAUAUACACACAUGGGACCCGACCCAAUACACUAAUAAGAUAUUUUUUCUUCAUCUUUCAUUUUUUGAGGAUUGAAAUAGAAGAAUAAACUGUUUUCUCCAUUUUUUUCUCUCUAGAACCUUCCAGUGGUUCCAUGGUUGCUUUACGCUUGAUGUCUCAUUUUCACAUGUUAACGUGGUAUCAAAGCUCGGAUGCUGAUAGAUUUGGGUUCCCUCCUUCAUUUGGUGCAUUUUUUGCGGAUUAGUGAAGCGUUUUUUUGGGUCUUUACGGUUUUCGUCGACGAUUAGACGAAAUCCUUCGUCGAUUCUCGAUUUGCAGUGGUUCUCAAGAGGGUUUCCAAGGUUUUAUAGUUUUUUUCAACAACUGGACGGAAUUCGUUCUUUGUCAUUGGAGAUUCUGAAGUUGCAGUGAUUUGUGGAGAAUUUUUUGGUGUUCUCAUCGGUUAACCGGUGUUGCAGUAGACAAGACAGUUUCUCUUUUCGGCAUUGAAAGAGGCUGGUAUUUUCUUCUCAUCUUCUCUAUUUGGUGUUUUGACUCAAUGGAUGGUGUUCCUUCUUCAUCUCCUAGAGUGUGUCUACUGUCUCACCUCGAACUGAGUUUCACAGGAUGAUUAUACUCAUCCCUGUCACCCACUGUAUGUUCACCCUUAUGAUAUUCUAGGGGUUCACUUGUUGCUAUUUCAUUUGAUGGCACUGGUUAUGCCAGUUGGAGAUGGACUAUUCUAGUCACUCUUUCAGUGCGCAAUAAGCUUGAAUUUGUCGAUGUAAGUACAGUACGACCUUCGUUUGAUUCUCCUUUGGCCAGACAAUGGCAGAGAUGUAACGAUCUCGUUCUAUCUUGGCUUCUUAAUUCCUUAUCCAAGGAAGUCAGUAAAAGUGUUGAAUAUUCUGGGUUUGCUAGUGAAGUAUGGAAUGAACUGGAAGAGAGGUAUGGUAAAGUCGAUGGUGUUAGGGUUUUUGAGUUGAAAAAGGAACUUGCACAUAUUUCUCAAGGGUCCUUAAAUAUUGUGUUUUACUUCAACAUGAUUAAACAACUUUGGGAUGAAUUAGCAUCCAUUUUGACUAGGCGAGCCAGAUCUUGCACUUGUAAUGCUAGGCUUUUAUACUAGGAAGAUGGGGAUGAACAGAAGCUCUAUCAGUUUUUAUUGGGCCUGAUGCCUACACCCAAGUUAGGAGUCACAUUCUAAUGAUGAAGCCAUUACCUUUGGUUAGCUUGGCAUACUGUCUCCUUCUAAAUGAUGAGAAACAACAAGUAUCCACUUCUCCAUCCUUGUUCUUCUCAUACCCAUCUAUUCCAAUUAAUGCUGGGGUAAUAAGGAAUUUCACUUACUCACCUAGGAUUACUUUUGACACAUCUGGACCCAAACCCAAUUUAGUGUGCAAAUAUUGCAAGAAACCAGGCUACAACAUUGAUAAAUGCUGCAAACUACAUGGCUUUCCUCCUGGCUUCAAAUUUACCAAGUCUCUAGGUCCUCGAAGGGCUGUUGUACAUGCUGAAACUGCACCACCUGUUGAGCCUGCAGUUUCCAGUACUCCAGUCACUACUUCCCCACUUCUUGGACUUACUGUUGAUCAACAUACUCAGCUUUUAAGCCUGCUGCAGCAGACUCAACUGUCCCAGCCUGCUCCUGAUGCACCUUCAUCUUCUUUGAUGGCUUCUGCUGCCUUUGCUGGUAAGUUGGCUGAUGCCAUCCCCUUGUCCCAAUCCUGUAUGCUCACUACAGUAGAUAAUUUCUUAUGGAUCAUAGAUAUUGACAUCUAAUUUUUGCCCUCUACGAUUAAAUUUAAUCCUGACUUUAUUCAGUUUUUAAUAAACCAAAAUAAUUAUUUCAUCCAAAUAAAAAAAAAACUUAAAAUAUUUUUCGUACGUGAUUUUAUCAUUUUAAGUAGCGAUUAUAUACUAUCGUGUUCAGUUAUACGAGAUUAUACAAUUUAUUACUUAAAUAUUUAUUUUACAAAAUAUCGAAUAUAAUUAAGGCUUAUCUUGAAAAUAAAUUCAAAUGAUUAAAAUCUUAAUUUAAAUAUAAUUUAUUCUCAAAAAUAAUUUAUUUGAAUAAAUAUGCAUUCAUUUUAUUAAAUCAAGAAGCUCGGAAUAAAAAAAAAGAUAUUAAUUCGUAUUGAAUUUUAAUUUAAUUUAGUCAAUCUAUUAGAUUUGACCAUAAUUGAAAAGUGGUCAUAAUUGUAAUGCAAUUCGUCAAUUAAUUUUUAAUUUGGUCAAAAUAAAUAAAUAUGGCUAAAUUUUAAAUUCCAAUUGAGGUUAUAGUUUAAAUAACCCCAAAAUUCUCAAGAACUCUUAUAACUUUUACCCAAUUUCCAUCAAAAAAUAAAUUCAAAUUGUACUAUUCCCCCCAACUUUGUCCUUUUUCAAUUUUGAAAUUCAAAGUUUGUACUACUUUGUACUAUUUCCCCUCACAUUAUCUUCCACCUCACCUUAUCUUUAAUCUUUACAUUCCAACCCCCCUAAAUACUUUUUCUCCCACAUUGGUGGGUGACAAGAAAUAAAUCUCUAUCCUUUUCUAUAAAAUUUUUCUCCACAUAGGUGGAAAAAGAAAAAAACACCCCAUUAUCUUCUAUAAAUACUACCACUACUUUGGUAGAGAAGGAGAAGGAAGAAAAAAAAAGG